Molecule: long non-coding RNA, 4233 nt
Organism: Portunus trituberculatus (swimming crab)
Lineage: Eukaryota; Metazoa; Arthropoda; Malacostraca; Decapoda; Portunidae
Exons: 2
Source: RefSeq, a predicted model, not a curated record
UACAAGUAAAAAUACAUCAGUAUAGCUCUUUAAUCAUACCGGUUGUUUAUUCCAUAUUUAACAGCAAUGACUAUGAUAGGUGGUAAAUGAUAUUGCAGUACUUGACAUGGAAGUAGGCCGGGUCAUCUCAUAACUAAAAAAGGCAGGCACAUAGUAAUGGAAAUAUUCAUAAAAUCAACAUUCAUUAAUUGGUAGGAUUGUCUUUCCUCUUGAUAACGUCCUGAAGCUUUUUGGGACUGAUACUGCAAGAUUUUGUAAUUUAUGAGGCUCAAUACGAUUCCACAAUGCAUGGAUCUCCCUCUCAAGCUUUGACAUCCAGUACAUGACCUUCCACUGGAGAGCCUUCUUAACGAUUUGCCUAGCCACUCCUCAAUAAAUUGUACUUCAGUCACAAAACCAUUGGAUUACUGAUUUGGCUGUAUGAGGCUUUGCCCCAUCUUGCUGAAAGAUGGUAGCUAUAGUGUCUUCAAAAGCCUGGGGUAAAACACACAGCAACUCCAGUAAUUAUACUGGUUCACCCUUUCCUUGUGAGACACAUUAAGGUGGGCCUUGCUGUAACCAACCAAUGCUCCCCCACAUCAUCAAUGGAUCUGGGUGUUUUAUAGUAGCACAAGUGUAGCGGGCAUCCAGUAGAUCACUACUGUGAUGGCGAUAAACAUUACAAUUUCUAUUGCAUGUCACCAUAAAGGUGCUUUCAUCAGACCACAAUACAAUCAGCCAGUUCUCAUCUCACACUCCAUACUUCCUGGUAAACUGGACCCUAUUCACUUUGAGGAGAGGCUUCUUUAUUGGGUAGUGAUUAUGGUAGGCAAGCUCAGCAGUGAGGCGGGAUACUGUAUAAACAAAGACCUCUUCCAGCAACCUAAGGUUCUCUUCCUUUAUUUUUCUCGCUGUCAGGACAGGAUUAGUCUUUAGUUGUUGUUUCACUAUGUUUCUACACCACUUGUCUUUUAUUGGGCACUGGCCUCUCGUGGGUGGGAUAAUUCUGACUGCCGUGCUAGUAGGGCUUGGCAACCCAACGCCACAUAGAACACUCACUCACACCAGGUUGUGCCAUGAUAUCUUUCAUUUACAGGCCAGAUUCUUUUAAAGCAAUGAUCUGAGCAAUCUUGCCCUGCUCUAAAUGUGUGUUCUUGCCCAUAUUAACAACACAUGGCCACUCAAAACACUAUAUGGUGGAUAGAAUCCAGGGGCGCUUCACGGAUGACACGCGGUUAAAACCUCACACACACACACACACACAGUCAACCUGAGGGCUUCCAAGAUAUUUAUUGUGGCGGCAAAAGGAAGCUCCGCCCCCUAGCUACAUGUACCACUGGCCAGCUGACUUGUCCCAAAAGUAUCAUACCAAUUUCAAUCGAUUCUGUUUUUGCCAAAUUGUAGAUCAAGUGGCUAGGACCCGGCCUACUCCUUCGUCAAGUCCUGUGUGUUUCAUAUGUGUGUAUGUUAACUCAUAAUCAAAACUUCCACAAUAGGGAGAAAUGAGUUAAUAAAAGUUUGUGGGAGGUCUUUGCUGACAAGUGCUUAAGUAAAAAAAGUAUUGGUGGAUAUCUGUAAACUCAUUGACGUUUGACCUUGGGCAUAUAUAGCUAGCAACAAGAAAAGCCUAUAGAACAACUUCACAGCUAUUUUACAAGACAUAAUGAUCUUGAAUGAAUGAUGAUAAUACAUAGAUUUAAGGGGAUGGAAUAUCACACUUGUGAAUAUAAACUUGUCAGUAAACCCACAGUUGUAGAUUUGAAGUAUUUAUUCUGAUACUUCAAGUCUACAACUGUGGGUUUACUGACAGAUUUAAAAAAAUACUUGUAUCUGUAAAAAGAACAGGGAUUUAAACAUCAUUGCAGAAACAGAAUUACAUUCAGCAUGUAAUUCUGUUUGGUAUGUGCCUGUUAAAUAAAGUCUUUUCACCACAGGGGUGGUGUCAUAUCUUUUCAUGAUCAUGGUAGAGGCUCCUUAAUACCUUCCUAGGAAGGCAAGGUUUUCUGAUGCUUUUGGAACACUUGCAACCUUCUACACUCUCUGGGGAGCAGGUAACAGUGUGAGAGUCACUCAGGUGACAGACCAUUCUCAUAUUCUCUCUCUCUCUCUCUCUCUCUCUCUCUCUCUCUCUCUCUCUCUCUCUCUCUCUCUCUCUCUCUCUGUUUUAAAAUAACUCACCCAGAGUUGACUCGCACAUUGUUGCCUAUUUCCCAUAGAGUGUAAAAGGUUGUCAGGUAGUGUUCCCAAAAUAUCAGAACAUCUUACCUUCCUGGGAAGAUAGUAAUAAGCAUUUACUAUAUACUGUGGAAAGAAAUUACUUGGUCAUAUGGUGUCAAGACUUUCCGUGCCUACUGUAGCAUUUGAAUUAUAUUAAAAUGAUGUGUCAUCAACUUCAAGCUUACAGUAGAGGUGCAUGAUUCAAGGUUUAGUGAAGAAUAUUAGGUUGCUUUCACAAUCUUUUCCUCUUUCAGGUCACCACAGAGGUCACGGCGGUCUCAGAGCAGAGAUUCUCACAAAAGGCGAAGCAGGAGUAGAUCUCGGUCACGCAGCUGAUCUCAUCAAUGCAGUAGUAAAACGAGGGGAGCAGAUGCUUGACCUAAAGCAGGGCAAAGAGAAAAGACUAUCCUCAGGCAGUGAAUAGUGGCAUAUUGUCUCAAAGUUGAGGCAAAAAGUGAAUGAGUAAAAAAAUAAAGGCAGAGUCCAUAUAAGGAAGCAAACCAGGACCUCAGCUACAGCAAACUGGCCCCUCAACACCACCAAGAAGAGCAUUGGGUGGUAAGAAAAGUGUUGUUGGAGAGUGAGGAGUGAAGCACCACACCGUUUGGCCAGACAACUGCGAUGAUUCUUCGGAACUGCGAUGAUCAUCUAUACAGAACACCGGGUUUUAACAUGCUUCCGCAUGGAAAUGCUCGUCUACAGAAAUUACAUGUGUGAUACUGGCUGUAUAUGCCUUCCUAACAUGCAAAGCUGAAACAUGCAAAUUAUAAAGUUUUGAAGAUAUAGUAAUGUCUUCAAUAGUACACUUAAAAGUGAUUUGAUUUAAGUUUGUACCUGUACACAUGUUUUAUAUAUAUGGUCUAAGCAAAUGUGGUAUACCAGACUAAUGACAGUACAGUACAUAUUUAUGUAAAAAAAAAAAUAAAUAAAAAAAGAAUAAAAAAAAUAAAAAUAGGGAAAAAUACCCCUAUCUAUUGCAAGUGUGACUGCUCACUGAUGUGAGUUUUUUCUAUUAUUUUAACAUGGGUUUGUUAAUAUUUCUGCACCUGUAUAUAGUAGAAAAUAAAAUCUGGGCAGGAUUCAGAUUUGGGAUAAAAAUUUGUAUAAUGCAGCAAUUCAAAAAAAUUCUGCAGUGUACAGGAUCUUGUUUCUUCAUCCCAGACUAUGAGUACAAAAUUUGUACAUUAUCAUUUGUAAAGCUCCCAGUUGUGUUGGGCAAUAUAUUUAAGGCAGAUGUAUUAGUUUCAAUCAUAUUUCCAGUAAUGAAGAAUGUAAACACAGUGAUUGGAGCAACUUAGUAUUUGAUGUUAUAAAACUAAUGAUUUUAUGUACUAGGACUGAUCAGUUGUCAUUGUUUUAUUUCUGGGUGACUUUAUAACCAAGUCAAUAAAAAAUAAAAAUAAUAAAAAAAAUUUCUAUACAUUUUUUAAGUUACAUUAUGAAUACUACAAAAUAUCAUAGCUCUGAAAAAACGACGAUGCGGUUAGGAAAUUUAAUUUAGAGCUUUAUUACUAGUAAUAAUAUUAAUUGACUAUUGUAGUGGAUAAUUUUUUGUGCUAGAUCACGAUUUCAGCUGUUAAGAUGAUGGUUUUGCCAUGUAUGAUUGAGCUGUCCUGUAAGCCACUAUUUAAGGGUGGUGUUGAUGCUACUCAUGCUGGGUGUAACUGGUUAUAAUUGGCUGACACUGGUAGCUGCUUGUUUCACUGGGGAGUGCUUAAAGUUCUUCUGAUUGGACACAAGUUUCAGUGAAAACUCUGAUGAAUAAUGCCUCUAUUUUAGAGAGGCAUUGCACAUCUCUGCAUGUGUCAAUUAUUUAAAUACGGGAUCCUCACAAUUCGACGGGGUUAGGGCGGUUUUUCAUCAGUCAAAUCAGCAUUUAUUAAGUCGUGAAGCAAUUUUUCCCAUAAAAUACUUAAGAAUUAAGGGGGAUAGGGACCAACCUCCAGCCUAGACCCCCUCAAAACAUCACUAUAACCUCUAAAAAACACUAAUUUUAUAACUUAAACCAAAUCAGAACUAUUAAAGGCUUCAUUUAUA